AGGCGGGUAGCUCAGUUGGGAGAGCGCCGCCCUUACAAGGCGGAGGUCGCGGGUUCGAGUCCCGCCCCGCCUACCA
RNAcentral lists this transfer RNA (76 nucleotides) under Aquifex pyrophilus. Its description in RNAcentral is "tRNA-Val". It matches the Rfam family "tRNA". Rfam says of the family: Transfer RNA (tRNA) molecules are approximately 80 nucleotides in length. Their secondary structure includes four short double-helical elements and three loops (D, anti-codon, and T loops). The record is from RNAcentral. Lineage: Bacteria; Pseudomonadati; Aquificota; Aquificia; Aquificales; Aquificaceae. RNAcentral also lists the same sequence under 2 other names.